RNAcentral lists this ribosomal RNA (253 nucleotides) under uncultured bacterium. RNAcentral's name for it is "partial 16S ribosomal RNA". It matches the Rfam family "Bacterial small subunit ribosomal RNA", at positions 524 to 776 of the family's 1533-position model. The record is from RNAcentral.
UACGGGGGGGGCAAGCGUUGUUCGGAAUUACUGGGCGUAAAGGGCGCGUAGGUGGCCAACUAAGUCAGACGUGAAAUCCCUCGGCUUAACCGGGGAACUGCGUCUGAUACUGGAUGGCUUGAGUUCGGGAGAGGGAUGCGGAAUUCCAGGUGUAGCGGUGAAAUGCGUAGAUAUCUGGAGGAACACCGGUGGCGAAGGCGGCAUUCUGGACCGACAUUGACGCUGAGGAGCGAAAGCCAGGGGAGCAAACGGG